CAAAGCAUCACUUGAGUUUGAUCCCACAAUUAGGAUUUUCAUAUUUCUCCUUUUUUAAUGAACGAAGUAAAACGCUCCUGGAAACUAAACUAGUUAACAUGCCUCAUUAUUAUUUACUCUGAAGUUUCCUACGCACUAUUUAGAUUGGGGUCAGAAGAAUAUUCUCUGAACUUGUGUUCCAAAGCAUCCUUGAUUUUGGACUUCACAAAAAAACAACCCAGCCCAAUUCAAAAUAUUGGAUUUAAUAAUAGCGGAAAUGUGGGCGAUGGAUGCAUAGUGUCCUUGCAAAUGGAAGCCUCACUGGGCUCCACUGACACAACCGGAUUCAGUACGAAAAUUCUUUCCACCGAAGACUGCAGAAAAGCAGAGUCCAUCGGAAAGCCUUUACCAACAGACAAUGAGGACUUUGGGAAUCAAGGCAGCUUGAGAAGCUACGUCCUCCUGCCAAGUCAAUCACAU
This 459-nucleotide long non-coding RNA is filed under the name Physcomitrium patens. RNAcentral's name for it is "long non-coding RNA (PPAT_LNC008983)". The record is from RNAcentral. Lineage: Eukaryota; Viridiplantae; Streptophyta; Bryopsida; Funariales; Funariaceae.